This 158-nucleotide non-coding RNA is filed under the name Boseongicola sp. Its description in RNAcentral is "6S RNA". It matches the Rfam family "6S / SsrS RNA". Rfam says of the family: E. coli 6S RNA was the first non coding RNA to be sequenced, but its function was unknown until recently. It consists of 184 nucleotides that fold into an extended hairpin structure with a large single-stranded internal bulge. Lineage: Bacteria; Pseudomonadati; Pseudomonadota; Alphaproteobacteria; Rhodobacterales; Paracoccaceae. The record is from RNAcentral.
CGGGUACUGCCCAAUUCGUGUCAGGGUCAGAUUCCGGUGGCCUUAACGACUUCCGAGGGGGCUGGCUCUGUCUGGGCCGUGGUCCAGUUACCUGGCACCCACCUGUAUUCACAGGUUCUCGGGAAUCAAGCGGCCCUCACGGUUGUGGCGGUCCCGCU